RNAcentral lists this ribosomal RNA (253 nucleotides) under uncultured bacterium. RNAcentral describes it as "partial 16S ribosomal RNA". It matches the Rfam family "Bacterial small subunit ribosomal RNA", at positions 524 to 776 of the family's 1533-position model. The record is from RNAcentral.
GACGAAGGGGGCUAGCGUUGUUCGGAAUUACUGGGCGUAAAGCGCGUGUAGGCGGUUGCCCAAGUCGGGGGUGAAAGCCUUGAGCUCAACCUAGGAAGUGCAUUCGAAACUGCAGGGCUGGAGUCCUGGAGAGGAAGGCGGAAUUCUCGGUGUAGAGGUGAAAUUCGUAGAUAUCGAGAGGAACACCGGUGGCGAAGGCGGCCUUCUGGACAGUGACUGACGCUGAGACGCGAAAGCGUGGGGAGCAAACAGG